UCGCCUGUUUAUCAAAAACAUGGUUUCUUGAAAUUAUAUGUGAAAUCUGACCUGCCCACUGAAAAUUUUUAAAGGGCCGCAGUAUUUUGACUGUGCAAAGGUAGCAUAAUCAUUAGUCUUUUAAUUGAAGGCUGGUAUGAAUGGUUGGAUGAGGUGAAUUCUGUUUUAUGUUAAUUUUUAUUGAAUUUAGGUUUUAAGUAAAAAAACUUAAAUGUAAUUAAGGGACGAGAAGACCCUAUAGAGUUUAAUAAAUGAUGUAAUUUAAUUGAGUUAAUUAAAAAUUUUUAAUUAUUAUUAAGUUUAUUUAGUUGGGGUGAUUAAAAGAUAAAAUAAACUCUUUUUUAAUUUUAAUGAUAUAAUUAGUUAUAUGAUCCAUAAUUAAUGAUUAAAAGAUUAAAUUACCUUAGGGAUAACAGCAUAAUUUUUUUUGAGAGUUCAUAUCGAAAAAGAAGAUUGUGACCUCGAUGUUGGAUUAAGAUUAGUUUUGGGUGUAGAUGUUUAUAAACUAGGUCUGUUCGACCUUUAAAAUCUUACAUGAUCUGAGUUCAAACCGGAGA
RNAcentral lists this ribosomal RNA (557 nucleotides) under Rhomantis sp. MN106. Its description in RNAcentral is "partial 16S ribosomal RNA". It matches the Rfam family "Bacterial large subunit ribosomal RNA", at positions 1796 to 2622 of the family's 2925-position model. Lineage: Eukaryota; Metazoa; Arthropoda; Insecta; Mantodea; Hymenopodidae. The record is from RNAcentral.